GGGGGAUUAGUUUAGUGGUAGAACAACGGUCUCCAAAACCGUAAGCGGGCGUUCGAUUCGCUCAUCCCCUGCCA
Molecule: transfer RNA, 74 nt
Filed under: Candidatus Berkelbacteria bacterium
Lineage: Bacteria; Candidatus Berkelbacteria
Description: tRNA-Trp
Rfam family: tRNA
About the family: Transfer RNA (tRNA) molecules are approximately 80 nucleotides in length.
Source: RNAcentral